CCUACGGGAGGCAGCAGUCGAGAAUCAUUCACAAUGGGGGAAACCCUGAUGGUGCGACGCCGCGUGGGGGAAUGAAGGUCUUCGGAUUGUAAACCCCUGUCAUGUGGGAGCAAAUUAAAAAGAUAGUACCACACGAGGAAGAGACGGCUAACUCUGUGCCAGCAGCCGCGGUAAUACAGAGGUCUCAAGCGUUGUUCGGAAUCACUGGGCGUAAAGCGUGCGUAGGCUGUUUCGUAAGUCGUGUGUGAAAGGCGCGGGCUCAACCCGCGGACGGCACAUGAUACUGGGGGACUAGAGAAUUGGAGGGGAAACCGGAAUGCGCGGUGUAGCAGUGAAAUGCGUAGAUAUCGAGCGGAACACUCGUGGCGAAGGCGGGUUCCUGGACAUUAACUGACGCUGAGGCACGAAGGCCAGGGGAGCGAAAGGGAUUAGAUACCCCAGUAGUC
RNAcentral lists this ribosomal RNA (446 nucleotides) under uncultured bacterium. RNAcentral describes it as "partial 16S ribosomal RNA". It matches the Rfam family "Bacterial small subunit ribosomal RNA", at positions 338 to 795 of the family's 1533-position model. The record is from RNAcentral.